Molecule: transfer RNA, 68 nt
Filed under: Crocidura lasiura
Lineage: Eukaryota; Metazoa; Chordata; Mammalia; Eulipotyphla; Soricidae
Description: tRNA-Thr
Rfam family: tRNA
About the family: Transfer RNA (tRNA) molecules are approximately 80 nucleotides in length. Their secondary structure includes four short double-helical elements and three loops (D, anti-codon, and T loops). Further hydrogen bonds mediate the characteristic L-shaped molecular structure. tRNAs have two regions of fundamental functional importance: the anti-codon, which is responsible for specific mRNA codon recognition, and the 3' end, to which the tRNAs corresponding amino acid is attached (by aminoacyl-tRNA synthetases). tRNAs cope with the degeneracy of the genetic code in two manners: having more than one tRNA (with a specific anti-codon) for a particular amino acid; and 'wobble' base-pairing, i.e. permitting non-standard base-pairing at the 3rd anti-codon position.
Source: RNAcentral
GCCUUAGUAGUAUAAUCAAUACACUGGUCUUGUAAACCAGAAAUGGAGACAUACAUCCCCCUAAGACA